GCGAACGGGUGAGUAACACGUGGGUGAUCUGCCCUGCACUUCGGGAUAAGCUUGGGAAACUGGGUCUAAUACCGGAUAGGAGCCAUCUUUAGUGUGGUGGUUGGAAAGUUUUUUCGGUGUAGGAUGAGCUCGCGGCCUAUCAGCUUGUUGGUGGGGUAAUGGCCUACCAAGGCGGCGACGGGUAGCCGGCCUGAGAGGGUGUACGGCCACAUUGGGACUGAGAUACGGCCCAG
This 233-nucleotide ribosomal RNA is filed under the name uncultured Actinomycetales bacterium. Its description in RNAcentral is "partial 16S ribosomal RNA". It matches the Rfam family "Bacterial small subunit ribosomal RNA", at positions 98 to 334 of the family's 1533-position model. The record is from RNAcentral. Lineage: Bacteria; Bacillati; Actinomycetota; Actinomycetes; Actinomycetales.